AUUGAACGCUGGCGGCAGGCCUAACACAUGCAAGUCGAACGGUAACAGGGAUCUGAUUGUUGAUUCGCUGACGAGUGGCGGACGGGUGAGUAAUGCCUGGGAAACUGCCUGAUGGAGGGGGAUAACUACUGGAAACGGUCGCUAAUACCGCAUAACGUCGACAGCACAAAGAGGGGGAACUUCGGGCCUCUGGCCAUCGGACGCGCCCAGUAGGGAAUAGCUCGUCGGUGGGGUAACGGCUCACCUAGGCGACGAUCCAUAGCUGGACUAAGAGGAUGACCAGCAGCACGGGUGAGAGAGUGCGGGGCAAACUCCGACGUGAGGCAGCAGCCGGGAAUAUUGCACAAGGAGCGGAGGCCUGAAUCGGCCAAUCGGCGUGUAUGAAGUAGACCUACGCGUUGUAAAGUACGUUCAGCUGCGGUGUAGAGAGUACUGUUAGUACCGAUGCUCAUGGACGUUACCCGCUGAAGAAGCACCGGCUAACUCCGU
Molecule: ribosomal RNA, 489 nt
Filed under: uncultured bacterium
Lineage: Bacteria
Description: partial 16S ribosomal RNA
Rfam family: Bacterial small subunit ribosomal RNA
Source: RNAcentral